CCCUUAGAUGUUCUGGGCCGCACGCGCGCUACACUGACGAAUGCAACGAGCUUAUAACCUUGGCCGAAAGGUCUGGGUAAUCUCCAAAUUUCGUCGUGAUGGGGAUAGAUUAUUGCAAUUAUUAAUCUUCAACGAGGAAUGCCUAGUAAGCGCAAGUCAUCAGCUUGCGUUGAUUACGUCCCUGCCCUUUGUACACACCGCCCGUCGCUCCUACCGAUUGAAUGGUCCGGUGAAGCGUUUGGACUAUGGUUUUCUGACGGUUCGCCAUUGGAUUACCGUGGGAAAUUCGUUAAACCUUAUCAUUUAGAGGAAGGAGAAGUCGUAACA
This 327-nucleotide ribosomal RNA is filed under the name uncultured eukaryote. Its description in RNAcentral is "partial 18S ribosomal RNA". It matches the Rfam family "Eukaryotic small subunit ribosomal RNA", at positions 1470 to 1796 of the family's 1831-position model. The record is from RNAcentral.